This 72-nucleotide transfer RNA is filed under the name Felis catus (domestic cat). It matches the Rfam family "tRNA". Rfam says of the family: Transfer RNA (tRNA) molecules are approximately 80 nucleotides in length. Their secondary structure includes four short double-helical elements and three loops (D, anti-codon, and T loops). The record is from Rfam by way of RNAcentral. Lineage: Eukaryota; Metazoa; Chordata; Mammalia; Carnivora; Felidae.
GCCCGGCUGGCUCAGUCGGUAGAGCAUGUGACUCUUGAUCUCAGGGUCGUGAGUUCAGCCCCACGUUGGGUG